GACGAACGCUGGCGGCGUGCCUAAUACAUGCCAGUCGAACGAGAGCGACCGGUGCUUGCACUGGUCAAUCUAGUGGCGAACGGGUGAGUAACACGUGGGUAACCUGCCCAUCAGAGGGGGAUAACAUCCGGAAACGGAUGCUAAAACCGCAUAGGUCUUCGAACCGCAUGGUUUGAAGAGGAAAAGAGGCGCAAGCUUCUGCUGAUGGAUGGACCCGCGGUGCAUUAGCUAGUUGGUGAGGUAACGGCUCACCAAGGCCGUGAUGCAUAGCCGACCUGAGAGGGUGAUCGGCCACAUUGGGACUGAGACACGGCCCAAACUCCUACGGGAGGCAGCAGUAGGGAAUCUUCCGCAAUGGACGCAAGUCUGACGGAGCAACGCCGCGUGAGUGAAGAAGGUUUUCGGAUCGUAAAACUCUGUUGUUAGAGAAGAACAAGUGCUAGAGUAACUGUUAGCGCCUUGACGGUGUCUAACCAGAAAGCCACGGCUAACUACGUG
RNAcentral lists this ribosomal RNA (498 nucleotides) under uncultured bacterium. Its description in RNAcentral is "partial 16S ribosomal RNA". It matches the Rfam family "Bacterial small subunit ribosomal RNA", at positions 28 to 507 of the family's 1533-position model. The record is from RNAcentral.